RNAcentral lists this unclassified non-coding RNA (181 nucleotides) under uncultured fungus. RNAcentral describes it as "sequence contains ITS1". Lineage: Eukaryota; Fungi. The record is from RNAcentral.
GCGUGUUUCUACACCCGCUUUAUACCCUGUGAAUCCGCGGCGUGGCCGCUGUUGUUGCCUCGGCCAGAUGCCCCAGGGCGGGGCCCUAGGCCUGGGAGACCAGGCGCUGGCCGGCGGCGCGCGAACUUCUGGAUACUGAUCGCGGGGAGCUCUGAGUGAUGGAUAUCCGAAUCGAUAUAGA